RNAcentral lists this ribosomal RNA (535 nucleotides) under uncultured bacterium. RNAcentral's name for it is "bacterial SSU rRNA". It matches the Rfam family "Bacterial small subunit ribosomal RNA", at positions 953 to 1488 of the family's 1533-position model. The record is from RNAcentral.
GACGCAACGCGAAGAACCUUACCUGGCCUUNACAUGCAGAGAACUUUCCAGAGAUGGAUUGGUGCCUUCGGGAACUCUGACACAGGUGCUGCAUGGCCGUUGUCAGCUCGUGUCGUGAGAUGUUGGGUUAAGUCCCGUAACGAGCGCAACCCCUAUCCCUAGUUGCUAGCAGUUCGGCUGAGAACUCUAGGGAGACUGCCGGUGACAAACCGGAGGAAGGUGGGGAUGACGUCAGGUCAUCAUGGCCCUUACGGCCAGGGCUACACACGUGCUACAAUGGUGCGCACAGAGGGCUGCAAACCCGCGAGGGGGAGCCAAUCUCACAAAACGCAUCGUAGUCCGGAUCGCAGUCUGCAACUCGACUGCGUGAAGUCGGAAUCGCUAGUAAUCGUGAAUCAGAAUGUCACGGUGAAUACGUUCCCGGGCCUUGUACACACCGCCCGUCACACCAUGGGAGUGGAUUGCACCAGAAGUGGUUAGUCUAACCUUCGGGAGGACGAUCACCACGGUGUGGUUCAUGACUGGGGUGAAGUCG